RNAcentral lists this ribosomal RNA (460 nucleotides) under uncultured bacterium. RNAcentral's name for it is "partial 16S ribosomal RNA". It matches the Rfam family "Bacterial small subunit ribosomal RNA", at positions 338 to 795 of the family's 1533-position model. The record is from RNAcentral.
CCUACGGGGGGCAGCAGUGAGGAAUAUUGGUCAAUGGACGAGAGUCUGAACCAGCCAAGUAGCGUGAAGGAUGACUGCCCUAUGGGUUGUAAACUUCUUUUAUAUGGGAAUAAAAUGUUCCACGUGUGGGAUUUUGUAUGUACCAUAUGAAUAAGGAUCGGCUAACUCCGUGCCAGCAGCCGCGGUAAUACGGAGGAUCCGAGCGUUAUCCGGAUUUAUUGGGUUUAAAGGGAGCGUAGGUGGAUUGUUAAGUCAGUUGUGAAAGUUUGCGGCUCAACCGUAAAAUUGCAGUUGAAACUGGCAGUCUUGAGUACAGUAGAGGUGGGCGGAAUUCGUGGUGUAGCGGUGAAAUGCUUAGAUAUCAUGAAGAACUCCGAUUGCGAAGGCAGUUCACUGGACUGCAACUGACACUGAGGCUCGAAAGUGUGGGUAUCAAACAGGAUUAGAUACCCGUGUAGUC